AUGUUGUUAAAGUUAAAUGUUAUGGACGCUUCAGAAACUCUUCAUUUGUUUAUUCAGUCUUGUGUGUUUUAUUUAUCAGCAGUUUCUGCACAUGAGUCCACCAUCGCCUCCACUUCUCCUCCAGUGUCAGAGUGUGUGUUCUGCUGGACGCUGCUGUUGAGUGUGUGUCCGGUGUGUGUUCUCCUCUCCUCACUCCUGUCCUCCAUCUGUGUUUACUGCUUCUGUCGUCCUCAAACUACAGGUUCUGACAUGAGUGCUGAGAUUCUUAAAGCAAAUGUUUUGAUGGUAACUAUUUUAUACUCUUUUAUUGACCAUAUCAAAGAUGAAUUGUGGACUGAUGUGGUUUUUCACUAGUUUAUUUGAUCCAUUUUCUCCUUGUCAAUCAUUUCAGGCAGAUUGUGUGGAGAAACAUCAGUGUGAGGCGAGUAAGACUGGAAAGAUCUGCGUCCACACUGAAGUCUCUUAUAGACGACUGACAUCUAAACAUCCCUACACCAACAUCUGACACAUGAACUGCUCUUAGUCUACUUUCUGUCUUAUUUCUGAUAGAGUUUGAGUGGACAUGCUUUUAUUUACAGCACAUUAUCUAUUACAAUCAAAUGUUUUUUUUUUUAAAUGAACAGUGUGAUCCACAGAUUAUUUAGGGUUUAACAUUUUAUUUUUGACAAUAUUAAUGUGUCCAAAGAUUAUUAAGAAAAGCAGAUUAUUAAUAACAGCACAAGGCUGUGUAUGUUUGUAUCUGCAGUUCAUCUGCAUAUCUCAAAAUAAAUGAGUAUGUAAAUGUUCACUCAUGAAUGAUCACUUUUAUUUCAAAUAUUAACACAACAUAUUUAAUAGUUAUCAGCGUCUGUGAACAUGAAUAAAUAUUGAAGAGGGAGUCAUGAACAAACAAUGGCUCCAUCUAGUGGCUAAUAGCUGAAGCGACGUCAAAACCACUUGUCAAGACCACUUGUCCACACAUCGUUUUAUCAGCACCAGUUCUCCCCCUCUAAAUUAUAACCAAGACCUAUUAAUGUCACGUACAUGUAGAAGAUGAAA
This 1038-nucleotide long non-coding RNA is filed under the name Danio rerio (zebrafish). RNAcentral's name for it is "lncRNA (ENSDARG00000117482.1)". Lineage: Eukaryota; Metazoa; Chordata; Actinopteri; Cypriniformes; Danionidae. The record is from RNAcentral.